AUUGAACGCUGGCGGCAGGCCUAACACAUGCAAGUCGAGCGGAUGAAGGGAGCUUGCUCCUGGAUUCAGCGGCGGACGGGUGAGUAAUGCCUAGGAAUCUGCCUGGUAGUGGGGGAUAACGUCCGGAAACGGGCGCUAAUACCGCAUACGUCCUGAGGGAGAAAGUGGGGGAUCUUCGGACCUCACGCUAUCAGAUGAGCCUAGGUCGGAUUAGCUAGUUGGUGGGGUAAAGGCCUACCAAGGCGACGAUCCGUAACUGGUCUGAGAGGAUGAUCAGUCACACUGGAACUGAGACACGGUCCAGACUCCUACGGGAGGCAGCAGUGGGGAAUAUUGGACAAUGGGCGAAAGCCUGAUCCAGCCAUGCCGCGUGUGUGAAGAAGGUCUUCGGAUUGUAAAGCACUUUAAGUUGGGAGGAAGGGCAGUAAGUUAAUACCUUGCUGUUUUGACGUACCAACAGAAU
Molecule: ribosomal RNA, 463 nt
Filed under: Pseudomonas aeruginosa
Lineage: Bacteria; Pseudomonadati; Pseudomonadota; Gammaproteobacteria; Pseudomonadales; Pseudomonadaceae
Description: bacterial SSU rRNA
Rfam family: Bacterial small subunit ribosomal RNA
Source: RNAcentral